CAAUAGCGUAUAUUUAAGUUGUUGCAGUUAAAAAGCUCGUAGUUGGAUUUCGGAUGGGGACGACCGGUCCGCCGUUUGGUGUGCACUGGUUGGUUUUAACUUCCUGUAGAGGACGUGCUCUGGGUUUAACGACCUGGACUCGGAGUCUACGUGGUUACUUUGAAAAAAUUAGAGUGUUCAAAGCGGGCUUACGCUUGAAUAUUUCAGCAUGGAAUAACACUAUAGGACUCCUGUCCUAUUUCGUUGGUCUCGGGACGGGAGUAAUGAUUAAGAGGAACAGUUGGGGGCAUUCGUAUUUCAUUGUCAGAGGUGAAAUUCUUGGAUUUAUGAAAGACGAACUUCUGCGAAAGCAUUUGCCAAGGAUGUUUUCAUUAA
RNAcentral lists this ribosomal RNA (375 nucleotides) under uncultured eukaryote. RNAcentral's name for it is "partial 18S ribosomal RNA". It matches the Rfam family "Eukaryotic small subunit ribosomal RNA", at positions 592 to 976 of the family's 1831-position model. The record is from RNAcentral.